This 1318-nucleotide ribosomal RNA is filed under the name Stenosemella sp. RNAcentral's name for it is "eukaryotic LSU rRNA". It matches the Rfam family "Eukaryotic large subunit ribosomal RNA", at positions 1 to 1303 of the family's 3401-position model. The record is from RNAcentral. Lineage: Eukaryota; Ciliophora; Spirotrichea; Tintinnida; Codonellopsidae.
UGAACUCAUUGAGAGCAGAGGCAGUGCAUGUUUACAUGCCAGUGCUUGGAUACACAAAUUUUCUCAGCAUCUGAAAUGAAGUAGGACCACCCGCUGAACUUAAGCAUAUCAUUAAGCGGAGGAAAAGAAACUAACAAGGAUUCCCUUAGUACGGGCGACGGAAGCGGGAAAAGCCCACACUGGUAAUCUCCGGGCGCUAGCUCGGCGAAUUGUAAUCUGAAGAUAGCUAGUCUACCUGGACCGGACGCCGAAGUGUGCACGAGCGCGCCGCCAAAGAGGGUGAGAGCCCCGUAUGGUGUCGGGUCCUACAAGGGCUGGUUGUCGAAGAGUCGUGUACUUUGAUACUAGUGCACUAAGCGGGAGAUAAACUUCUUCUAAGGCUAAAUACAAGUAGGAAACCGAUAGCGAACAAGUACUGUGAAGGAAAGAUGAAAAGCACUUUGGAAAGAAAGUUAAAAGACUUGAAAUCGUUGAGGCGGACCCGGUAGAAAUGUAUUCUAGCGAAGCGCCCUGGGAAGCCUGUAUUCGGGCCACUCGGGCGUCAGCCGAGACAAGAUGGAGUCGCCGGAUGCCAGAGGCCGGGCGCGAGGGAGCUUGCUCCAGCGCGUGCGUGCCGGGUGUCGGGCGGCUUGAGGGGCCUUGAGCGAUCUUGUCAAAAUGGUUUUUACCGACUCGUCUUGAAACACGAACCAAGGAGUCUAAGACUAACGCGAGUGUGGUGGUGGAGAAACCAACACGCGAAAUGAAAGUAAAUGAUGCCAAGCUCCCUGCAGCAUCGACCGACCACUUUCCCCUGGAAGAGGUUUGAGUAAGAGCGUUAUUCUUAGGACCCGAAAGAUGGUGAACUAUGCCUGUGUAGGGUGAAGUCAGGGGAAACUCUGAUGGAAGCUCGUGGCGAUACUGACGUGCAAAUCGUUCGUCGAACAUGGGUAUAGGGGCGAAAGACUAAUCGAACCAUCUAGUAGCUGGUUCCCUCCGAAGUUUCCCUCAGGAUAGCUGGGACAAGUACGCAGUUUUAUUAGGUAAAGCGAAUGAUUAGAGGCAUCGGGGAUAAAAUGUCCUUGACCUAUUCUCAAACUUUAAAUUGGUAAGAACUCCAUUCUUUUCUUAACUGAAGACGGAGGUUCAAUGCGUGUCCUUAGUGGGCCAUUUUUGGUAAGCAGAACUGGCGAUGAGGGGUGCUCCUAACGUCUGGUUAAGGUGCCAAACUACACGCUCAUCAGAAACUACAAAGGGUGUUAGUUCAUGAAGACAGCAGGACGGUGGCCAUGGAAGUCGGAACCCGCUAAGGAGUGUGUAACAACUCACCUGCCGAAUG